GUGGGGAAUAUUCCGCAAUGGACGAAAGUCUGACGGAGCAACGCCGCGUGAGUGAUGAAGGUUUUCGGACUGUAAAGCUCUGUUGUUUAGGACGAAAGUGCCUGUUGCAAAUAGUUACAGGUAUUGACGGUACUGAACGAGGAAGCCACGGCUAACUACGUGCCAGCAGCCGCGGUAAUACGUAGGUGGCAAGCGUUGUCCGGAAUUAUUGGGCGUAAGGAGCAUGUAGGCGGGAAUCUAAGUCUGUUGUGAAAAUGCGGGGCUCAACCCCGUAUUGCGAUGGAAACUGGGUUUCUUGAGUGCAGGAGAGGAAAGGGGAAUUCCCAGUGUAGCGGUGAAAUGCGUAGAUAUUGGGAGGAACACCAGUGGCGAAGGCGCCUUUCUGGACUGUGUCUGACGCUGAGAUGCGAAAGCCAGGGUAGCGAACGGGAUUAGAAACCCCUGUAGUCC
RNAcentral lists this ribosomal RNA (450 nucleotides) under uncultured bacterium. Its description in RNAcentral is "partial 16S ribosomal RNA". It matches the Rfam family "Bacterial small subunit ribosomal RNA", at positions 354 to 796 of the family's 1533-position model. The record is from RNAcentral.